Melanotaenia boesemani (Boeseman's rainbowfish) is the source of this 1341-nucleotide long non-coding RNA. RefSeq lists it as uncharacterized. The transcript has 2 exons. Lineage: Eukaryota; Metazoa; Chordata; Actinopteri; Atheriniformes; Melanotaeniidae. The record is from RefSeq and is a predicted model, not a curated record.
ACAUCCAAAGAUUUUAGUAGCUCAAAGGAGCCAAUGAGUUUACAAAGGGUCAACUAUCUGGAACCGCUGUGAUUUACUAACAAGUGAUAAUGCGUGUGAGUUUAUUUUGUGUUACAGUUAUGGACAUUUUUAUUUCAGCUCCAUGAAACAACUUCAAACAUCUGAUUAAACUUUUGCUGAAACUUAACGUCAGAAGAGAAAUUAACAUGUUGGUCAGUUUUAAACUUAUUGCAUCUUUGUGCCAUCCAGUUGGUUAAGCAAAAAUAUUUAUUACUGUCAUUCUUCUUGUCUACAUAAUAAAGUCUGAGAUUUUAUUCAAGUCAUGUAAAUGAGAAAAAUCACAACAGACUUUGUGUCACAGCUGAUUAUAACCGAUCAUAACAGCAACCCCCACUUAAAUAGGCAAAAACAACUAUUAGCCGUAAUUUUUGCCCAAAAUGCUUGAGCUCUGCACAAAACAAUAUUGUGGUGCAGAUCUCUCAUGUAUCAAAAUGGUAACACGUUCUGAAUGUGCAGCUUGCUGUUUCCGUAGCCAAUGAGACGCAGGCAGCCUACGUCACCGCUGCAACAAACAGGUGCUGUGGGAACGUGGGAGUCCGUCUGCCAUUCACAACUUCCUCCAGACAGCAACUACCUAAAGGCGUUUGAAUGAAUGGCGUUUGUCUGUUACAAAGCUACAAGACUAACCGCUGAGAAUAAACACAGCGUCAAAACCCCGAAUGUCCAGUCAAAGUGUCACAAUGACAGACUGAAGUGGUCCGUGUGCAGCUAACGCUCUGGCUCCAAAAACAGCGGAGCUCCACUGAACCGUCCAACUAAAAAAAAAAAAAAAAAAAUCUCGUUCCGUACAGAUACAGCUGAAGAAAAGCAGACUGCGGCAUUACGAGAUAUGCCAACUUCAAUCCCUGCAGUAACGUUUUGGUCGACUGUGUGAAACCAGCUAUGUCUGCUACAUGCUAUUAGCCGACAACACCAAUUCACCAUCCCCGUUUAUGGCCUAGCAACACAAGCAUCGACCUCGAGUUACAGCACGUCGCUAUCCACACGCCCGCCAUUUAGAGCGUGGCGCAGGAGUUCAGCAAAAUACACUCCUUUUCUUUCAGAAAGUGAUCUCUUCAUUCAUCUACCCAAUGGAUGCACUGAAAUCUAACUACAUAAUUGGCUACUUCCUGGAGUCUGGCGACAUGUGACUGUGUAAGGAGGGAGCCUGCCUUUGCACUCUGAGAGGCCCCGCCCAGGAGGCGCUUCGUCCAAUCAGCGCACAGAACCGCCAUUACAAAUCCCCCAAAAGGUGGAACUUCUAAAAUAAACCAUCGCCCACGACAGGCGGAGCUGCAACAC